GAAACAGGCCUUUCAGGCAUCCUCUCCCAAACUUUCAAGGGCCGCCCGGCAACGGUGCGGCCCAUUUUUUUGCCUGGG
Molecule: small RNA, 78 nt
Filed under: Novosphingobium sp. CECT 9465
Lineage: Bacteria; Pseudomonadati; Pseudomonadota; Alphaproteobacteria; Sphingomonadales; Sphingomonadaceae
Description: suhB
Rfam family: Makes More Granules Regulator RNA (mmgR)
About the family: SuhB later renamed mmgR (makes more granules regulator) was a putative non-coding RNA found multiple times in the Agrobacterium tumefaciens genome and related alpha-proteobacteria.
Source: RNAcentral